CUAUACAACCUGCUUAACUUUGUUCAAGGCGUUAUCACCUCCACACAUGUUAUGUAUUUAUUUUUCAUUCCCUUCUUCUGGAAUUUAAGCUCCACUUGAGUAAGUAUUUGUUUUCAACUGUUAUAUUCCCAGGGGCUGAAGUGGUGCCUGAAACAUGGUGGGAAUUUCAUAAAUACUUUUUGAAUGAAUUAAUUGAAUGGAUAAGUCGGUGAAUGCUAUACCCAGAAGGAAAUAUUAGAAAGAAGAAAAACAAAAGAACUGAAGCCCCGAGAAACUGUCCACUUAUACAAGGGUUUUCUUCCACCUCUGCUACACCUGAGAGCAAAGUCGGCUCCUUUUUCUCCUCCUCCUCAGCCUACUCAACAGUGGAGAUGAGGAGGAUGAAGACCUUUAUGAUGAUCUACUGUCACUAAAUGACUAGUAAGUAGAGUUCUUUUCUUUAUAAUUUUCCUAAUAACAUUUUGUUUUCUCUAGUUUAUUGUAAGAAUAUGGUAUGUAAUACACAUAACAUACAAAAUGUGUGUUAAUCGACUGUGUAUAUUAUCAGUAAGUCUUCUAGUUAACAGUAGGCUAUUAGUAGUUCAGUUUUGGGGGAGUCAAAAGUUAU
Long non-coding RNA from Cercocebus atys (sooty mangabey), 607 nucleotides. RefSeq lists it as uncharacterized. The transcript is spliced from 3 exons. NCBI's taxonomy places the organism in Eukaryota, Metazoa, Chordata, Mammalia, Primates, Cercopithecidae. The record is from RefSeq and is a predicted model, not a curated record.